This 327-nucleotide ribosomal RNA is filed under the name uncultured eukaryote. Its description in RNAcentral is "partial 18S ribosomal RNA". It matches the Rfam family "Eukaryotic small subunit ribosomal RNA", at positions 1470 to 1796 of the family's 1831-position model. The record is from RNAcentral.
CCCUUAGAUGUUCUGGGCCGCACGCGCGCUACACUGAUGCAUUCAACGAGUUUUUCCUGGUCCGAGAGGAAUGGGUAACCUUUUGAAAGUGCAUCGUGCUAGGGAUAGACUAUUGCAAUUAUUGGUCUUCAACGAGGAAUUCCUAGUAGACGUAGUUCAUCAGACUGCAUCGAUUACGUCCCUGCCCUUUGUACACACCGCCCGUCGCUCCUACCGAUUGAAUGAUCCGAUGAAUAUCAUGGAUUGAGGAUGCAAGUAGGUUCGCCUAUCUUCAUCUUCGAGAAGUGAAGUAAAUCUUAUCAUUUAGAGGAAGGAGAAGUCGUAACA